ACUAGGAUCGUCCAUGGAUUUCCCAUUUUCAUUUUGAGGUGAAAUUGCAUACUACGUACAGGGACACCUUUCAUACAGAAGAAUAACAGACACGGACACAUUUAUUACAUUAGUAGAAGAGACAAGCAUUCCAUAGAGGAAGAAUAGAAACUGACACCAUUUACAGAACACAGCAAGAGACAAGGACUACAUUCACACAGAAGAAGAGGAGACAAGGACACCAUUACAUAGAGAAGGAAGAGAAAGGGACACCAUUCACACAGAAAAAGAGACAAAAUCACCAUUGACAUGGAAGAAGACCAGACAGAGACACCGUUCACACAGAAGGAGAAGAGACAAAGAAAACACACGUGUAGGAAAAGAAACAGGAGCCCAAUUCACAAAGGCCUAGAGGAGAGAGAAGAGACGUCUGGCUGCUGCCUUACAGGGUGGUCAGAAACCUUCCUCAACUCCAGGAUUGAAGGCAGCAUAGGAGAAGCAAACAGCUGAUUAUUUCUCCCACACCGCUGAGCCCCAGAUCAAACAGGGAUUCAGCACUGAGAGGCAAAACCAAGAAGGACACUGCUAGAGACAUGGACUGGAGCUGAGCAGACGGAACUGAGGGGGGAGCAGAAAAACUGUUAGGCAGGAGUCAACAGACAAUAAUCAAAAGUUCAAAACUCAGCAGGUACUACGAUCUGGCAAGACCCAGUGAACUUUCAGCAGAAUGACAACUGAUGGACGGAAGGCAACAAGAUUGUGAGGGGAGAGUAAUCAGGACCAGCAUCUGGCACAGUCGCAUUUGCCUGCAGAUGCUGGCAGCUGAUUGGAUGUCCUGGAAAGAUCUUGUAGGAAAUAUCAGAUCUGCCUGUCAAAUAUGAUUAAUGACCACCAGAAAAUCAUUUGAGCAGUUACAGAAAUAUUAACAAGCUGUGAAUACCAUCAUUAAAGGAGACUGCCACUGUCAGUCAGAGUUAUAGGUUAUUUU
Molecule: long non-coding RNA, 967 nt
Organism: Micropterus dolomieu (smallmouth bass)
Lineage: Eukaryota; Metazoa; Chordata; Actinopteri; Centrarchiformes; Centrarchidae
Exons: 4
Source: RefSeq, a predicted model, not a curated record